UUGGGAGGGCAAGUCUGGUGCCAGCAGCCGCGGUAAUUCCAGCUCCAAUAGCGUAUAUUAAAGUUGUUGCAGUUAAAAAGCUCGUAGUUGAAUUUCGGGGUUAGUAGGUUGGUCAUGCCUCUGGUAUGUACUGGUCUCACUGAUUCCUCCUUCCUUAUGAACCGUAAUGCCAUUAAUUUGGUGUUGCGGGGAAUUUGGACUGUUACUUUGAAAAAAUUAGAGUGUUUAAAGCAAGCUAACGCUUGAAUACAUUAGCAUGGAAUAAUGAAAUAGGACG
This 277-nucleotide ribosomal RNA is filed under the name uncultured Glomus. RNAcentral's name for it is "partial 18S ribosomal RNA". It matches the Rfam family "Eukaryotic small subunit ribosomal RNA", at positions 547 to 829 of the family's 1831-position model. The record is from RNAcentral. Lineage: Eukaryota; Fungi; Glomeromycota; Glomeromycetes; Glomerales; Glomeraceae.